This 499-nucleotide unclassified non-coding RNA is filed under the name uncultured Glomus. RNAcentral's name for it is "SSU rRNA". It matches the Rfam family "Eukaryotic small subunit ribosomal RNA", at positions 591 to 1092 of the family's 1831-position model. The record is from RNAcentral. Lineage: Eukaryota; Fungi; Glomeromycota; Glomeromycetes; Glomerales; Glomeraceae.
CCAAUAGCGUAUAUUAAAGUUGUUGCAGUUAAAAAGCUCGUAGUUGAAUUUCGGGAUCAAGUCGUCGGUCGUGCCUCGGUACGCACUGGUGACAUUGGUUUCUCCCUUCUGAAGAACCUUGAUGUCAUUAAUUUGGUGUCUUGGGGAAUCAGGACUGUUACUUUGAAAAAAUUAGAGUGUUUAAAGCAGGCUCACGCUUGAAUACAUUAGCAUGGAAUAAUGAAAUAGGACGUUUGAUUCUAUUUUGUUGGUUUCUAGGAUCGACGUAAUGAUUAAUAGGGAUAGUUGGGGGCAUUAGUAUUCAAUUGUCAGAGGUGAAAUUCUUGGAUUUAUUGAAGACUAACUACUGCGAAAGCAUUUGCCAAGGAUGUUUUCAUUAAUCAAGAACGAAAGUUAGGGGAUCGAAGACGAUCAGAUACCGUCGUAGUCUUAACCAUAAACUAUGCCGACUAGGGAUCGGGUGAUGUUAAUUUUUUAAUGACUCAUUCGGCACCUUACG